This is an RNA transcript of Cucurbita moschata (crookneck pumpkin), 1799 nucleotides long. RefSeq lists it as uncharacterized. NCBI's taxonomy places the organism in Eukaryota, Viridiplantae, Streptophyta, Magnoliopsida, Cucurbitales, Cucurbitaceae. The transcript is spliced from 3 exons. The record is from RefSeq and is a predicted model, not a curated record.
UUAAAUCUUGCCGGAAAUCACAAAUCAUGGGAUUUCCGGUGAGGCAAGCCUUGCCAGCCAAGGCGUAUUAAUGCGUAUUAAACCCUAGCUACCUUAGUAGCCGCCCUUUCCUUUUUGAGUGACUGUCAUACCUGUGAGGGAGGAGCCGAAGGGUUUAGGUGAGAUCGAAAACGUCGCGAGACUUCAGAUCGGGUUCAAUAACGCCGCGAGCUUUAGGUAGGAGCAGGCGCUAGUGUAUGGCGGGCAAGGGAGGACAGACGCGUCACCGGAGAUGGACGAACGACGACACUUCCACAGGUGACAGCAGCCAAGCCCGUGAUAGGGCUAUUGAGGCAUUCGGGUGGGGAAGACGAAGUGGUGGGCGCGGGUCGACCCUCGGCAUUCCGCGGGUCGUCUCGGCUGGCGUGCAGCCCACACCUCGCAGGCCGCGCUCAGACACCACCAUGGGGCUUCAUUCCUUUUCGGCCCAAACCAGAGGUGCGCCCAGAAACCCUGCGCCGUUAGGGUUCUUCGCAGGCCGUCGGUUCGGCUCCACCAGCGGCUCGACUAGGUCGGCUCGGCUGUGCGGCUCGACAGCUUGGCAGCGCAGCUCGGCGGCUCGACAUCCGAAUAGCAUCCCGAUUUUUAGGUUUUUAACCCUUCUGGAGCCAUUCCCACCCUUGUUUCAGCCAUCUGAGGAGGUAGUUAGGCGCUGGAGUCAGCAUUGUGGGUGACUUCGGCCAAGGCCAAGGAGGUAAGUAACCUUACUGUUGGCGUUAGUUAUGUAUGUAUGUUGGUGCGUGCCCUGUGGCCCUUGCAUGCACCAUAUGUUGUUGCUGUAUGCUAGGUUAGAUGUUUCUUGCCGUGAAAUGCUAUAUGCAUGCUUUGUUUAUGUAUGUGAUUCUUGCAGUGAAUUGCUAUGUAUGCCAUGUUUAUGAAUAUGAUGUUGUGACGCGUUUUGUUGCCCUGUAUGUAUGAUGAGCUUGAUUGACAUGUCAUGAUUGUAAUGAGAACCCCACAUGCCAUGAAUAAGAUGACUAGUAUGCUAGGAUAUGCUUGCUCAAUGUGGACCCGGUUAUGCUAUGUUAUGCUUGCCUACUGUGAACCCGGUUAUGCUAUGUAAUGCGGCGAGGGGAUGGAGCGUCGUAGGUGUAAUGCCAUGGAGGUAAACCUUAAGAACCUCAUGCACGCUAUGGUUAUGUACUUGGGGCACUCCCCCGUUAUGCUACUGAUGGUAUGGAUACGUAUAUUCGAUAUUGUGUUCGCCACGAUAUCAUGCAGGCCCUCCUUUGUCCGUGGCGUCCAGUAUUGUAUGUCAUACAUACCCGACCAAGCCAGGCCUAGGGAGUUCGCUUGCGAGCUUGCCUAGUGGGCCCACAGUCACACACGUGGGCCAUGUGUUGGAAAUUACCAUGCAUCCACCCCCGCGCGGACAAGGCAAGGGCCUAAGGCCAUGGGAAGGAAUGGAAGACAAACCUCUCUCUCAGUUUCGUUCUUCUAACAUUGUGCGGCAUGAAAGGGCAAGGCUCCCAUGUACGGGUGACGGUGGAUGAGGCGAAGGGCCAUGGAAAUCUUGAGGAGGGUUUGUUGUGUCGUAGCGCCUGUUGGAAUCUCUUGGGUUCUUAGUUUUGCGAAUUGUUUUCUCUAGUCUCUGUUGAUUACUUCUAGGCUAGGUUGUCGCAAUUGUUUUCCUAGGUAUGAACGGCUUAAAUUGAUGAAUGCAUUUUCGUUAUUGAGACUGUUCCAUGUGAACUCUUGUCCUGUUGAUUUGACGAGUAUAAGGUAACGUCGCUAAUUAGGGUAGAGAAAAUUAGGGGCAU